AAUGAACGCUGGCGGCGUGCUUUACACAUGCAAGUCGAGCGAGGCGUGUAGCAAUACACAGUCGAGCGGCGAACGGGUGAGUAACGCGUGGAUGACCUGCCCUUCAGCGGGGAAUAACCCGGGGAGACUCGGGCUAAUACCGCAUACGACCGAGAGGUGAAAGGGGGCCGCAAGGCUCUCACUGAAGGAGGGGUCCGCGUUCGAUUAGCUAGUUGGUAGGGUAAUGGCCUACCAAGGCGACGAUCGAUAGCCGGCCUGAGAGGGUGAUCGGCCACACUGGAACUGAGACACGGUCCAGACUCCUACGGGAGGCAGCAGUGGGGAAUUCUGCGCAAUGGGCUAACGCCUGACGCAGCAACGCCGCGUGGAGGAUGAAGGUCUUUGGAUUGUAAACU
This 395-nucleotide ribosomal RNA is filed under the name uncultured bacterium. Its description in RNAcentral is "bacterial SSU rRNA". It matches the Rfam family "Bacterial small subunit ribosomal RNA", at positions 29 to 431 of the family's 1533-position model. The record is from RNAcentral.